Molecule: long non-coding RNA, 535 nt
Organism: Megalobrama amblycephala (Wuchang bream)
Lineage: Eukaryota; Metazoa; Chordata; Actinopteri; Cypriniformes; Xenocyprididae
Exons: 3
Source: RefSeq, a predicted model, not a curated record
GCCGGGGCUGAACGGGGUCGCGCUGCUGUCCAGGCCGAACGAGGGGCUCAGCGGGUCGGCUUUGACUGGUGCAUCUGUCGGGGACGGUGGGUCAUCAGAGGUGGACGGAUCCAAAAGGCUGAUAAGGAUGGAGUGACUUUAAAGGAUUCUGCUUCUGUGAGCGAGAGAUGAAUGGGAUGAAGGCGGAGGGAGGGAAGCGCUGCAAGACUGAGCAGGACCUCCGGAGCGUCAGACGCCCGCAUGCAUCGCGUGCCAGUGUUGAUGAACCGGGACAGUGUGUGAGAUCAGGCUGUGCCAGUGUGUUCUUCUCCUGCAGUGUCAUGGUGAAAGAGGUAAUCUGACAGACCGCUGACACUAACACUAGCAGGAACACACACUUCAAACGCUCUCUAACAAGUGCCACACUCGCAUACUAAAACUCAAUAAACAUGGAAACUGUCAGAGCCACAUUUCACCCGGAAAUCAAGUAUAAUACAAGAAAUUGUAUUAUAAAACAAAACAAUAAAAUAUACAAUAUAUAUCUUAUUAAUACAAU